This 21-nucleotide small nuclear RNA is filed under the name Arabidopsis thaliana (thale cress). RNAcentral's name for it is "snRNA_01328". Lineage: Eukaryota; Viridiplantae; Streptophyta; Magnoliopsida; Brassicales; Brassicaceae. The record is from RNAcentral.
GAAUACGAACCGUGAAAGCGU